This 253-nucleotide ribosomal RNA is filed under the name uncultured bacterium. Its description in RNAcentral is "partial 16S ribosomal RNA". It matches the Rfam family "Bacterial small subunit ribosomal RNA", at positions 524 to 776 of the family's 1533-position model. The record is from RNAcentral.
UACGAAGGGGGCUAGCGUUGCUCGGAAUCACUGGGCGUAAAGGGUGCGUAGGCGGGUCUUUAAGUCAGGGGUGAAAUCCUGGAGCUCAACUCCAGAACUGCCUUUGAUACUGAGGAGCUUGAGUCCGGGAGAGGUGAGUGGAACUCCGAGUGUAGAGGUGAAAUUCGUAGAUAUUCGGAAGAACACCAGUGGCGAAGGCGGCUCACUGGCCCGGUACUGACGCUGAGGUGCGAAAGCGUGGGGAGCAAACAGG